UGAAUGUCCUAGGGGGUAUUGCACUUACCGAAGACUAUCAAACUCCGAAUGCCGUUUUCUUUUACUUGGGAGUCAGACUGUGGGUGAUAAGAUUCAUAGUCAAAAGGGCAACAGCCCAGAUCGUCAGCUAAGGUCCCUAAAUGUACGUUAAGUGGUAAAGGAUGUGGGAUUGCACAGACAACCAGGAUGUUGGCUUAGAAGCAGCCACUCAUUUAAAGAGUGCGUAAUAGCUCACUGGUCGAGUGAUCCUGCGCCGAAAAUUUCCGGGGCUAAAACGUACUACCGAAGCUACGGCAUCAUUUAUGAUGGGUAGGGGAGCUUCGUAUGCAGGCUGAAGCAUGACCGUAAGGACAUGUGGACAGUAUACGAGUGAGAAUGUUGGCAUGAGUAGCGAGACGUGGGUGAGAAUCCCACGGGCCGUAAACCCAAGGUUUCCAGGGGAAGGUUCGUCCGCCCUGGGUUAGUCGGGACCUAAGCCGAGGCCGAAAGGCGUAGGUGAUGGACAACAGGUUGAUAUUCCUGUACCGCCAAUAAGCGUUUGAGAGAUGGAGUGACACAGUAGGAUAAGCUAACCGUACUGUUGGUUAUGUACGGCUAAGCAUUGAGGCAGUCUAAAUAGGCAAAUCCGUUUAGACAAUGCUAGGAUGUGAUGGGGAAGCCCUUCGGGGCGAAGUAGCUGAUUUCACACUGUCAAGAAAAGCUUCUAUCGAGUUUAAAGGCGCCCGUACCGUAAACCGACACAGGUGGGUGAGGAGAGUAUCCUAAGGCCAGCGAGAGAACUAUUGUUAAGGAACUCGGCAAAAUGACCCCGUAACUUAGGGAGAAGGGGUGCCUGUCUAUGACAGGCCGCAGAGAAUAGGCCCAAGCGACUGUUUACCAAAAACACAGGUUUCUGCUAAGUCGCAAGACGAUGUAUAGGAGCUGACGCCUGCCCGGUGCUGGAAGGUUAAGGGGAUCUGUUAGAGCAAUCGAAGCAGUGAACUUAAGCCCCAGUAAACGGCGGCCGUAACUAUAACGGUCCUAAGGUAGCGAAAUUCCUUGUCGGGUAAGUUCCGACCCGCACGAAAGGCGUAACGAUUUGGGCACUGUCUCAACAACAGACUCGGUGAAAUUGUAAUCCCGGUGAAGAUGCCGGGUACCUGCGACAGGACGGAAAGACCCCAUGGAGCUUUACUGUAGCUUGACGUUGGGUCUUGGUACUACAUGUACAGGAUAGGUGGGAGACUAUGAAGCAUGGACGCCAGUCUGUGUGGAGUCAUCCUUGGGAUACCACCCUUGUAGUACUGGGAUCCUAACCAUAGGCCUUGAAUCAGGUCUUGGAACACCGUCAGGUGGGCAGUUUGACUGGGGCGGUCGCCUCCUAAAAAGUAACGGAGGCGCUCAAAGGUUUCCUCAGCACGGUCGGAAAUCGUGCGAAGAGUGUAAAGGCAAAAGGAAGCUUGAUUGCAAGACAUACAGGUCGAGCAAGGACGAAAGUCGGACUUAGUGAUCCGGUGGUUCCGCAUGGAAGGGCCAUCGCUCAACGGAUAAAAGCUACCCUGGGGAUAACAGGCUUAUCUCCCCCAAGAGUCCACAUCGACGGGGAGGUUUGGCACCUCGAUGUCGGCUCAUCACAUCCUGGGGCUGUAGUAGGUCCCAAGGGUUGGGCUGUUCGCCCAUUAAAGUGGUACGCGAGCUGGGUUCAGAACGUCGUGAGACAGUUCGGUCCCUAUCCGUCGCAGGCGUAGGAAAUUUGAGAAGACCUGUCCUUAGUACGAGAGGACCGGGAUGGACGUACCUCUGGUGUACCAGUUGUUCUGCCAAGGGCAUGGCUGGGUAGCUAUGUACGGAAUGGAUAAGCGCUGAAAGCAUCUAAGCGCGAAGCCAACUUCAAGAUAAGAUUUCCCACCGUAAGGGUAAGACCCCAGGAAGACUACCUGGUUGA
This 1924-nucleotide ribosomal RNA is filed under the name human gut metagenome. RNAcentral's name for it is "bacterial LSU rRNA". It matches the Rfam family "Bacterial large subunit ribosomal RNA", at positions 911 to 2856 of the family's 2925-position model. The record is from RNAcentral.